AAGGAUCAUUACUGAGUCUUUGAACUGGGUUUGAUGCUGGCCUUCCGAGGCAUGUGCUCGCCCUGCUCUCAUCCACUCACCCCUUGUGCACCUUACGUCGAAGAUGCGAUUGGAAGCUGGGGAAACCUAGCCAAUGGUUGCUUCUUUGCGUUACUUUACACAAAACCCUUGAAUGUAUUAGAAUGUCCAUUGGCCUACGGGCUUGUAAUUUAAAGUACAACUUUCAACAACGGAUCUCUUGGCUCUCGCAUCGAUGAAGAACGCAGCGAAAUGCGAUAAGUAAUGUGAAUUGCAGAAUUCAGUGAAUCAUCGAAUCUUUGAACGCACCUUGCGCUCCUUGGUAUUCCGAGGAGCAUGCCUGUUUGAGUGUCGUGAACAUUAUCAACCCCAGUGGGAUUUUUAAUAUCCCAACUGGUUGGCUUUGGACUUGGGGGUCUUUG
This 440-nucleotide unclassified non-coding RNA is filed under the name uncultured Hyphoderma. Its description in RNAcentral is "sequence contains ITS1, 5.8S rRNA gene, ITS2". The stretch from base 219 to 372 matches the Rfam family "5.8S ribosomal RNA". Lineage: Eukaryota; Fungi; Basidiomycota; Agaricomycetes; Polyporales; Hyphodermataceae. The record is from RNAcentral.